This is a long non-coding RNA of Passer domesticus (house sparrow), 327 nucleotides long. RefSeq lists it as uncharacterized. The transcript is spliced from 4 exons. The record is from RefSeq and is a predicted model, not a curated record. Lineage: Eukaryota; Metazoa; Chordata; Aves; Passeriformes; Passeridae.
AUGGACAUAGUGCUUCAGUGGAAGGUGGUAUUUCUUGAAGGAAGCACUCCAUCUUCUGUGCCAGCCCCUGCUGCAGGAAGGAAGGCAAAGCCAGACACGGGCACAGGCACAGCAGACUGGGAUGCUGGGAAGGAUUCUCCAUUAGCCUGGCGCUCUGAAGUUGUGAAGCCCUCUGAGCAUUCUGCAGGCGUGUCUGCAGGGACGACCUCACCAACUCCUACCUUGGAUGCUGCACAAAAGGCCAGCUCCCAUGGCAGGGGUCCUCUGACAGGAGAGACCAAAGACAUGGCAGGCAGGAAAUUCCAGGACCCAUUAGAAAUCAUGUGG